AUACGACCGUACCGCAAACCGACACUGGUGCGCGAGAUGAGUAUUCUAAGGCGCUUGAGAGAACUCAGGAGAAGGAACUCGGCAAAUUGACACCGUAACUUCGGAAGAAGGUGUGCCCUAUUAGUGUGUAGUGAACAACGAAGCAUGAAUGGGUUGCAAAAAAUCGGUGGCUGCGACUGUUUAUUAAAAACACAGCACUCUGCAAACACGAAAGUGGACGUAUAGGGUGUGACGCCUGCCCGGUGCUGGAAGAUUAAAUGAUGGGGUGCAAGCUCUUGAUUGAAGUCCCAGUAAACGGCGGCCGUAACAAUAACGGUCCUAAGGUAGCGAAAUUCCUUGUCGGGUAAGUUCCGACCUGCACGAAUGGCGUAACGAUGGCCACACUGUCUCCUCCUGAGACUCAGCGAAGUUGAAAUGUUUGUGAUGAUGCAAUCUCCCCGCGGAAAGACGGAAAGACCCCAUGAACCUUUACUGUAGCUUUGUAUUGGACUUUGAACAGAUCUGUGUAGGAUAGGUGGGAGGCUUUGAAGCAGGGUCGCUAGAUCUUGUGGAGCCAACGUUGAAAUACCACCCUGGUGUGUUUGAGGUUCUAACCUAGGUCCAUUAUCUGGAUCGGGGACAGUGCAUGGUAGGCAGUUUGACUGGGGCGGUCUCCUCCCAAAGCGUAACGGAGGAGUUCGAAGGUACGCUAGUUACGGUCGGACAUCGUGACGAUAGUGCAAUGGCAUAAGCGUGCUUAACUGCGAGACUGACAAGUCGAGCAGAUGCGAAAGCAGGACAUAGUGAUCCGGUGGUUCUGUAUGGAAGGGCCAUCGCUCAACGGAUAAAAGGUACUCUGGGGAUAACAGGCUGAUACCGCCCAAGAGUUCAUAUCGACGGCGGUGUUUGGCACCUCGAUGUCGGCUCAUCUCAUCCUGGGGCUGUAGCCGGUCCCAAGGGUAUGGCUGUUCGCCAUUUAAAGAGGUACGUGAGCUGGGUUUAAAACGUCGUGAGACAGUUUGGUCCCUAUCUUCCGUGGGCGCUGCAGAUUUGAGGAAGCCUGCUCCUAGUACGAGAGGACCGGAGUGGACACACCUCUGGUGUAUCGGUUGUCGCGCCAGUGGCAUUGCCGAGUAGCUAAGUGUGGAAGAGAUAACCGCUGAAAGCAUCUAAGCGGGAAACUCGUUUCAAGAUGAGAUCUGCCGGGGCCUUGAGCCCCCUAAAGAGUCGUUCAAGACCAGGACGUUGAUAGGUCAGGUGUGGAAGCG
RNAcentral lists this ribosomal RNA (1247 nucleotides) under metagenome. Its description in RNAcentral is "bacterial LSU rRNA". It matches the Rfam family "Bacterial large subunit ribosomal RNA", at positions 1636 to 2875 of the family's 2925-position model. The record is from RNAcentral.